AUACAAUGAUUCCCCUAGUACGGCGAGUGAAGAGGGAAAAGCUCAAGUUUGGAAGCUUCGUGGCAUAGCUACGACGCGUUGUAAACUGAAGUUUUUUGGGUGAUUGGGCGACCGGAUAAAUAAGUCCUUUGGAAAGGGGCAACAUAGAGGGUGACAUUCCCGUCUUUGGUCCGAGUCAGUGCAGUCGCUGCCCAGGAAACGACGAGUCAGGUUGUUUGGGAAUGCAGCCUAAAAUGGGAGGUAAAUCUCUCCUAAAGCUAAAUACUGGCGUAAGACCGAUAGCGAACAAGUACCGUGAGGGAAAGAUGAAAAGGACUUUGAAAAGAGGGUCAAAUAGUACGUGAAAUUGUUGAAAGGGAACCGUAUGAAAGUAGACUGGCUUGGUGAUGAUCAAUGUGUGUUUCGGCACGCAUGCACUCAUUGCCUUUGCCAGCCAGCGGCAGUUUUUGCUAAAGGAAGAAAAUCAGGGGAAUGUAGCUUCGAUUUCGGUUGAAGUGUUAUAGCUCCUGGUAAAAUACUUUGGCAGAGACUGAGGCUAGCAGCGGAUCUUUGGGAACUUUGCGCGCUUGUCGUCCAAUGGUUAAGUUUUCUUCGGAUGCUUGGUCAUUGGGUGGCAACUCGUGUGAUGCUUCACCCUUCCCUUAGGUCGCUGGCGUAAUGCUUUUAUAUGACCCCUCUUGNAACAGGGACCAA
This 693-nucleotide ribosomal RNA is filed under the name Gongronella butleri. RNAcentral's name for it is "eukaryotic LSU rRNA". It matches the Rfam family "Eukaryotic large subunit ribosomal RNA", at positions 65 to 669 of the family's 3401-position model. Lineage: Eukaryota; Fungi; Mucoromycota; Mucoromycetes; Mucorales; Cunninghamellaceae. The record is from RNAcentral.